UCCUAAUCUUGGAUAUCGAUGGGAAUAGAUUAUCUUAAAUUUCACUUUGGUCACUUGGCUAAGGCGUUCAAUAGCACUUUAAGCCAUUAAGAACAAACAUUUUACAAUUUCUCUGUGUAUAUGCAUUCCUCUGCUGAAUUUAGAGUGCCCCGAGAAGUGGCUGCAACAAAAUUGGAGGGAUUAGGUAAACGGCAGCAGAACAAACCGUUUUACAUGGCAAUUAUGCAGGAACAAGCCUGACCCAUGACGCCUGACCCUCGGAUCCUGGGCCGUGUAGAACUAGACCCAUUUCAGCAGUCAAUUCAAGGAUGAAGGACGAGAGUCCUGCAGGAGCAACAUGUGUGCACGCGCCGCUGCUCAUUGGAAAUUCAAUUUUCAAUAAAUGCACACAAAUUGAUUUCCAGCUCGGGGCCUUUCAAGCGGAGUUACGAAACACAAUCGCACGCACACAGCUGCUCCCGCACACACCUAUCUUCACUUGCACAGUCACGCAAUUCAUCGGCUGCGAAUCCGUAUCCGGGUCUGGGCAUGGCAAUGGCAAUGGGUAUGAUGGGGAUUCUGGGUGCCGUGUCCCGUAUCCCGUAUUCCAUAUCCCGGACAAGUGGGCUCCGGCGACGAGUGCGGCAUUAUUGCCUGUUGCUUUUGCCAGUGGCACUGCUACACCACAGCUGAUGUGGUCGGCCGUAAACAUGCGGCAGCGAAUGAGUGGGCGUGGGAUUCCGCCGGAGUGCACACUCCGUAUGCCGCACUCCCGUACCCCGUGCUCAAUACUCCUCCGCCGUACUCGACAGUAACGGGUCGUCGUCACACACAAGUAAUUGCAAUCAGCACCUUGGCAACAAGCAGCUGCGCCAAAAUGAGGGAGAAAAGAAGAAACUCGGCCACGGACGUAUUUAUUUAUAAAGCAACCCGUAACUCACGGUGCGUGCUGCCGUAUAUCUUAACACCUGAAUGCCAAACGAACUCUUGGAACUCAGCUCAAGCGAACGGAUUUAAAUUUAUUGUGUUAAAUGGUCAUCUGCCUGCCAUUUAUAUGCUAAUUAAGAAUUUUUAAUUGUAAUUUCUUUCGCACUCAGAGAAAAUCACAAUAGGAUAAGAUUAUAAAAGGAUUUUAUAUGAAGUAAUAUAUAAUCUUCUUACUUAUUUUUUAUUAUUUAUAUCAACUUUUAUGUAGUAGCACAUAUUUAA
Molecule: long non-coding RNA, 1188 nt
Organism: Drosophila simulans
Lineage: Eukaryota; Metazoa; Arthropoda; Insecta; Diptera; Drosophilidae
Exons: 3
Source: RefSeq, a predicted model, not a curated record